RNAcentral lists this ribosomal RNA (746 nucleotides) under uncultured bacterium. RNAcentral describes it as "bacterial SSU rRNA". It matches the Rfam family "Bacterial small subunit ribosomal RNA", at positions 56 to 762 of the family's 1533-position model. The record is from RNAcentral.
UGCAGUCGACGAGAUGGCCCAGUGAAGGUUGCGUGCUUGCACAAGACUGAAUCUGGAUCACCAUCUAGUGGCAGACGGGUGAGUAACACGUGGGUGACCUACCUUUUCGUUGGGGAUAACAGUUGGAAACGAUUGCUAAUACCGAAUAAAAUAUAAGAGCCAAUUUUAUAUUGAAAGGAGCCUUUAAAGCUUCGCGAUUAGAUGGGCCUGCGGCGUAUUAACUUGUUGGUGAGGUAACGGCUCACCAAGGUAACGAUGCGUAGCCGAACUGAGAGGUUGAUCGGCCACACUGGGACUGAGACACGGCCCAGACUCCUACGGGAGACAGCAGUUAGGAAUAUUCGUCAAUGGGGGAAACCCUGAACGAGCAAUGCCGCGUGAGUGAUGACGGUCCUUUGGAUUGUAAAACUCUGUUGUAUGGAAAAAAUGACUAGGUUAGGAAAUGAACCUAGUGUGAUGGUACCAUACCAGAAAGCCCCGGCUAACUACGUGCCAGCAGCCGCGGUAAUACGUAGGGGGCAAGCGUUAUCCGGAUUUAUUGGGCGUAAAGCGUGUGUAGGCGGUUUGUUAAGUUUAAGAUUAAAGCCUGGGGCUCAACUCCAGUUCGUCUUAAAAACUGGCAGACUAGAGUACGGUAGAGGCAAACGGAAUUUCUAGUGUAGCGGUGAAAUGCGUAGAUAUUAGAAGGAACACCAGUGGCGAAAGCGGUUUGCUGGGCCGUUACUGACGCUGAGGCACGAAAGCGU